RNAcentral lists this ribosomal RNA (2312 nucleotides) under Klebsiella pneumoniae. RNAcentral's name for it is "partial 23S ribosomal RNA". It matches the Rfam family "Bacterial large subunit ribosomal RNA", at positions 398 to 2697 of the family's 2925-position model. Lineage: Bacteria; Pseudomonadati; Pseudomonadota; Gammaproteobacteria; Enterobacterales; Enterobacteriaceae. The record is from RNAcentral.
UGUGAACUCGAAGAGUAGGGCGGGACACGUGGUAUCCUGUCUGAAUAUGGGGGGACCAUCCUCCAAGGCUAAAUACUCCUGACUGACCGAUAGUGAACCAGUACCGUGAGGGAAAGGCGAAAAGAACCCCGGCGAGGGGAGUGAAAAAGAACCUGAAACCGUGUACGUACAAGCAGUGGGAGCACCUUCGGGUGUGACUGCGUACCUUUUGUAUAAUGGGUCAGCGACUUAUAUUCUGUAGCAAGGUUAACCGUAUAGGGGAGCCGCAGGGAAACCGAGUCUUAACUGGGCGUUAAGUUGCAGGGUAUAGACCCGAAACCCGGUGAUCUAGCCAUGGGCAGGUUGAAGGUUGGGUAACACUAACUGGAGGACCGAACCGACUAAUGUUGAAAAAUUAGCGGAUGACUUGUGGCUGGGGGUGAAAGGCCAAUCAAACCGGGAGAUAGCUGGUUCUCCCCGAAAGCUAUUUAGGUAGCGCCUCGUGAACUCAUCUUCGGGGGUAGAGCACUGUUUCGGCUAGGGGGUCAUCCCGACUUACCAACCCGAUGCAAACUACGAAUACCGAAGAAUGUUAUCACGGGAGACACACGGCGGGUGCUAACGUCCGUCGUGAAGAGGGAAACAACCCAGACCGCCAGCUAAGGUCCCAAAGUCAUGGUUAAGUGGGAAACGAUGUGGGAAGGCACAGACAGCCAGGAUGUUGGCUUAGAAGCAGCCAUCAUUUAAAGAAAGCGUAAUAGCUCACUGGUCGAGUCGGCCUGCGCGGAAGAUGUAACGGGGCUAAACCAUGCACCGAAGCUGCGGCAGCGACACUAUGUGUUGUUGGGUAGGGGAGCGUUCUGUAAGCCUGCGAAGGUGUGCUGUGAGGCAUGCUGGAGGUAUCAGAAGUGCGAAUGCUGACAUAAGUAACGAUAAAGCGGGUGAAAAGCCCGCUCGCCGGAAGACCAAGGGUUCCUGUCCAACGUUAAUCGGGGCAGGGUGAGUCGACCCCUAAGGCGAGGCCGAAAGGCGUAGUCGAUGGGAAACAGGUUAAUAUUCCUGUACUUGGUGUUACUGCGAAGGGGGGACGGAGAAGGCUAUGUUAGCCGGGCGACGGUUGUCCCGGUUUAAGCAUGUAGGCUGAUUGUCCAGGCAAAUCCGGAUAAUCAAGGCUGAGGUGUGAUGACGAGGCACUACGGUGCUGAAGUAACAAAUGCCCUGCUUCCAGGAAAAGCCUCUAAGCAUCAGGUAACAUCAAAUCGUACCUCAAACCGACACAGGUGGUCAGGUAGAGAAUACCAAGGCGCUUGAGAGAACUCGGGUGAAGGAACUAGGCAAAAUGGUGCCGUAACUUCGGGAGAAGGCACGCUGGUGUGUAGGUGAAGUCCCUGCGGAUGGAGCUGAGACCAGUCGAAGAUACCAGCUGGCUGCAACUGUUUAUUAAAAACACAGCACUGUGCAAACACGAAAGUGGACGUAUACGGUGUGACGCCUGCCCGGUGCCGGAAGGUUAAUUGAUGGGGUUAUCCGUAAGGAGAAGCUCUUGAUCGAAGCCCCGGUAAACGGCGGCCGUAACUAUAACGGUCCUAAGGUAGCGAAAUUCCUUGUCGGGUAAGUUCCGACCUGCACGAAUGGCGUAAUGAUGGCCAGGCUGUCUCCACCCGAGACUCAGUGAAAUUGAACUCGCUGUGAAGAUGCAGUGUACCCGCGGCAAGACGGAAAGACCCCGUGAACCUUUACUAUAGCUUGACACUGAACAUUGAGCCUUGAUGUGUAGGAUAGGUGGGAGGCUUUGAAGCGUGGACGCCAGUCUGCGUGGAGCCAACCUUGAAAUACCACCCUUUAAUGUUUGAUGUUCUAACGUUGGCCCCUGACCGGGGUUGCGGACAGUGUCUGGUGGGUAGUUUGACUGGGGCGGUCUCCUCCCAAAGCGUAACGGAGGAGCACGAAGGUUAGCUAAUCCUGGUCGGACAUCAGGAGGUUAGUGCAAUGGCAUAAGCUAGCUUGACUGCGAGCGUGACGGCGCGAGCAGGUGCGAAAGCAGGUCAUAGUGAUCCGGUGGUUCUGAAUGGAAGGGCCAUCGCUCAACGGAUAAAAGGUACUCCGGGGAUAACAGGCUGAUACCGCCCAAGAGUUCAUAUCGACGGCGGUGUUUGGCACCUCGAUGUCGGCUCAUCACAUCCUGGGGCUGAAGUAGGUCCCAAGGGUAUGGCUGUUCGCCAUUUAAAGUGGUACGCGAGCUGGGUUUAGAACGUCGUGAGACAGUUCGGUCCCUAUCUGCCGUGGGCGCUGGAGAAUUGAGGGGGGCUGCUCCUAGUACGAGAGGACCGGAG